GAUACGGGGUUGCGCGCGGACCAAGAUCGAGUUGCAAAGUCACGAGAAACUCCUACGAAAACCCUAAACAAUUAGAUCUGAAACGAAACAGAAAAUUAAAAGAUUAGAUUUUUGAAUUUUCAGAUCUGAAAUAAAAUCCCCAAAUCAGCAAAGAAUCAAAUUGAGAAUAGAAAUAAGUGUUAGGGUUCUUGAAACCCUCAAGGAGAUUGUGAUUCUGCCCAAUUGAACACCAAGAUAGUUUUCCCCAAAUUUCGACAAUCUAAUUUCACCCAAAAAAGAGUAUGGAAAAACCCUAGAAAUUGGGGAUUUUUGGGCUGAUUCCUUAAGAUAGAAAAAGGCUGAAAACACAAUAAGAACAGAAAAUAGAUUAGAUAAUGAUUCAGCACAAGUAGAAAUAAAGAAAGAAUUGACAGUAAGAAAUUAAAAGAUAAGUCCUAAGAAGCCUUGAAAUCUCGAAAGAUCUCACAACUCCCUUCAAACGGCUCUAAUCUCCCCUCCAAAGAAUAUCAAUGGCAA
RNAcentral lists this long non-coding RNA (516 nucleotides) under Gossypium barbadense (sea-island cotton). Its description in RNAcentral is "long non-coding RNA (GBAR_LNC019439)". Lineage: Eukaryota; Viridiplantae; Streptophyta; Magnoliopsida; Malvales; Malvaceae. The record is from RNAcentral.